GGUUAGAUGGCCGAGCGGUCUAAGGCGCCACGUUAAGGUCUCAUAACCCCUUAAAACAACUAACAGACUUCUGUGAUCUCCGUGGUCCGAAAGGGCGUGGGUUCGAAUCCCACUCUAAUCA
Non-coding RNA from Coniochaeta sp. PMI_546, 121 nucleotides. The record is from the annotation of a GenBank genome assembly. NCBI's taxonomy places the organism in Eukaryota, Fungi, Ascomycota, Sordariomycetes, Coniochaetales, Coniochaetaceae.